RNA transcript from Zea mays, 4365 nucleotides. RefSeq lists it as uncharacterized. The record is from RefSeq and is a predicted model, not a curated record. The transcript has 5 exons. Lineage: Eukaryota; Viridiplantae; Streptophyta; Magnoliopsida; Poales; Poaceae.
GAGACCGACCAGGAGCCGACCCAUUUGAACCGGAGCCGGAGGUCACCGGCUCACCGCUGCGCCCCGAGGCCCUCCUCGCUCUCCACCAGCUCACGAACACAGAGAGAGAGGCCGAUGGCGAGCUCGCUGGCCCGCCUGGGAGCGGCGCUGCCACGCGCCGCGGCCCGCGCCCUGCCACCGGGGCGGUGGGCCGCCGCGGUGCUCGGCAUCGGCGCCUCCCGCCGCGCCGAACGCUUUCAGGUGCCAAGUUCAUUCCGACAUUAAAGUAGCCCCUACAUCAGACGUGAAGGACGAUAGCAAAUCUGAAACUAGGAGGAUCAAGAUGCUCUAUGACGGUGAUUGCCCUCUCUGUAUGCGUGAGGUAAACAUGCUGAGGGAAAGAAACAAAUCAUAUGGGGCAAUAAAGUUUGUUGACAUAAGCUCUAAAGAUUACUCUCCAGAUGACAAUCAAGGCCUUGAUUAUGAAACUGUGCGUAUCACUUCAAUUUAUUUCACUUUUCUUGCUCACCCACUUUAUGAUUUCUCGUUAAUGAAAUUGGUCAUGUCGUGUUUUGUUUCCCAAAGGCUAUGGUGUAAACAUUGCUUUUCAUUAGUAUAAUGGCACACACAGAGAUAACUCUUGCAAUUUUUGGCAAGUGCGUUCCACUGAAAAAAUAUUGAAUCAUGAUCUUUUUCUUCCUUGCUUAAACACUUGGUUUUGAAUAUUUCAUGGCUGCCAUUUUGUACUGGGCACUUCUAUUCUGAUAAUUCAAUUGCUUCCUCAUGGUUCCUAGCUUGUUUGCAUUUGUGCUUCUAAGCUUUGUCAAAAAGUUCUAAAAAAAUAUUAAAAUCAUGAAGAGCCUAGUGUAUGACCACCAUUUACUCCACUGCUAGAGUGCCAUUUAUUCCUCAGUUCCUGCCAUUCACUUUCUGGGGGAAUAUAGGACUUCUUAUUAGUAAUUUGUUUACUGGGACCAGAUUGAAAGUUCGCAUUCUGUAUUGUGGCCAGAGAGAUGAAUACGAGAAGGUAGGAGAUCAUGUACAAUGUUUAUUUAAUUUUCUAGUAAAUAUUUUUCCUUCCUCUUCUCAGGUCAUGGGGAAGAUACAUGCCAUUCUUUCAGAUGGAACUGUUAUCACAGAUGUUGAGGUAGAACAUUAACAUCAUGUCCUACCAAAGUCGUCGGGGAUUUAACUUUGCAAUGGGCAGUCUACUUGCUUAAUGCCAGAUAAACUGUUGGAUAGUUAAAUCAGACUAGGCUGAUUGUCUGAAAUUUUUUACAUCAAAUGAAGGAAAUGACCAAUUGAGCUAUACAUGUUAUGCGAAAGGGCCUCUAGCGUAAUGGUUAAGGCUUCCGAGUAGCACCUCCAGGUCCUGGGUUCGAUUCCCCUCGGGGGCGAAUUUCUGGCUUGGUUAAAAAAAUCCCCUCGCUGUGCCCCGUCCGCUCCCGGGUUACGUCCUGCGCGCCACCCUCCGGCUGGGCCGUUGCAGAGUGGGCGGUGACGGCCCGCUAGUGAUGGGGGCCAGGGUUCGGGGAUUUUCUCGGCCGGGACCAUGUUUCGGUCUCUUCUUAAUAUAAUACCGGGAGGACGGUCUUUCCCUCCCCGGCCGAGCUAUACAUGUUAUUUAUGAAUGAUUAGAAGUUUCUUUAACAUAAUACUGUGAUACAGCUGUUUCCCUUGUGUUCACUUAACUAUGUGCAACUGUUAAUGCAUAGAUGAGUUUGUACAAGCCAAAAUCAAUGCUGUUCUCUUCCAGCACCAAGCAAGCUAUGUUUUCUUGACAGGAUUCAGGACAGCAUUACAUGCAUAGCUUAUAAUCACUAAACUGUCACAGUAGUUUAACCACAGUAAAUCAUUCUAAAGCAGCGUUUAAAAGUUGACUAGGAUCCAGGCUAGUGCUGGGUCCGCCUACACGCCUAGGCGAUGCCUAGGCCACAUGCCGCCGCUGUUUCCCAAGGGGAGCUGCGUACGUCUUGGUGCCUAGGCGACACCUUCGAAACAAUGUUCUAAAGAACUUGAUGUAGAAUACUCUGAUCUAUCAACAUAGUUGAAACACUGUUCUAACAGAGUAUGAGUGUGAUGCCAAGGCAAAUAAAAGACCAAGUCAGAAUUUUGAUUCUUUUUAGUCUAAGCAUCAGGUAUGUUUCAUGCUAAUAUUUAUUAUGUUAUUAUUGCAGGCAUUUAGAAAAUUGUACGAGGAAGUAGGACUCGACUGGGUUUAUGCUGUUAGACUGUCUCCAGCAACGUCCUCUAUAUACAUCCUCUAUAUCCGUCCUUUACAGUCUUCUUUAAAAGAUUCCAUCUCCUAUAUCUACUUUCUCUUCAACAACGUCCUUUAAAUCACGUCCUCUAUAUGUAAAUACCUAUAUUAAAAACAUUUUUAAUUUUUUAAUUUUUGUACGUACGUAUUUGUCAUACUUUCAAAUGUAUUGUACAUAUUUUAGUUUUAUUAAACCGGUUGUUUAAAGUAUUCAAAUAGAUAGAGAACCGUUUAGAGAAACUCUACAUAUAGAGGAUCCAGCGGCGUUCUCUAAAUUUAGAGGACCGUUUAGAGGACGUUGCUGGAGUGAGUAGAGGAUGUCAUCGUCCUCUAAAUUUAGGGUACAGGACCUUUUAGAGGGUCUUGUUGGAGCCAGCCUUACUAGGUUCAACCUGUAAGUCACUACUUACAGAGAGAACAUAUGAUCGUCUUGUUCCAUUCACUUCAUGCUUUUUAUAUAAGCAGAACAUUUUCCAAAUGAGAUAAGUUUUACCUUCUUGCUGACACCUGUACUUCUUUGUUCAUCUUCUAAUUCUAUGCAGGUAGCUACGAUGGCAAAUGCAAUAUAUGGCGUGUGGGCGAAAUACCGAAUGCAAAUUACAGGUCGACCUCCGCUAGAAAAGCUGCAGUAAGUUGUCCUUCUGAUCAUCAGCUCACUUCUUUUGCCUGAUGCUGUGCUCAGUACCAAUCAGUAAUCAUACUGGUUGCGAGUGAACAUUUCAGCAGCUUCAGUUUACUGACUGCAUUUCCCUUCCGCAGGGCGAAUGUAAAGAUGACAAAGUAUGCAAGAUGUGAGCAUAAAAAAUGUUCUACUGUGCUACAUACCUCACUCACCUAUAUUCAUGCUUAGUGCUUAGAUAGGCUCAUAUACAUAGUUUUAACACAAAAAAUAAUCACAAUGGUAUUGAAAAGGGCGAAUAGCUUAUGUAAUGGUUUGUCGAAGUAAAUAUAUACAUUUUCUGAAAAAAUGUAAAUAUAUACAUUUGUAUGUACACUGUGCUGGUUUGACGGCAAGAUAUUUUACGGUGAAAACUUCCACGGAAUGUGCUGUUGUGACUGGUGGGAUUGCACGGUGCCUCAAGUCCUGAUCAUGGGAUUUGUCUAUACUGCUUUUUGGACACUGCAUUCGUGAGUAUACGAUGCAACAAGAAUGCAACGUUUUAUAAAUCAUAUCCACAGCACAGCAAGCGACGAGGCAAUGCUUCACAGCCUGAAUAUUCUCAUAUCUUCAAUGUUAGAUAUUUGAUUCUGUUGCAUAAUUGUAUCUACACUGACUUCUGUGUGAUAUAUGACCCGGAUUUUGCUUUAACAAAGAUACACAGGAAAAAAGAGAGGAUAUCAUCCAGAAUUUGUACUUUUGUAUACUAUGAUGCCUGAAAACACACGAAAGAGGAUUCUACAUACUAUUUACUUUGUAAGGGACUUUUUGACACAGUCCACAAUACCUUCACAAUCGUUUUCAGUGCUCUGCCUCGUCAUCUCGUAUAUUGACGAAUACAUCAUACAAGUUAUCUGCAUAUGGGAAUCAGUGAGUACUUACAACAGUCUUAUGGCAGAGAAAUAGAAAGGCAGUACAAAUGGUUCACGUCAGGAGGCCAGAAUCCAGUAAACAAGGAAUCAAAAUCGAGAUUUUACGACUCCAUGAUGGAGCAGCCAGUUAAAUUUCACAAACGCAGCUAACAUGUUUAGUUCCAACCUUCCGAAGAAGUACAAAAAAAAGGAAUACACACCUAUUGAGGGGACAAAAGAGAGAACAGCAAGUUUACCUAUUUUAGGCCUCCUAGAACAUGGAAUUCUUGUUGUCUGAAACUCAUCUGAGGGGCAAAAGAGGUAUGUAAACAAUUAGAAUAGGUAUCAACUGUUCAUGUAUAACUUUAAGAUUUUAAGAAACAUAAGCGAAUACCAAAUAAGUAAAGGUCCUCAUUCAGGUAAUAGUUCAAUGCUGCCUCUGGAGCUGGUAGUGUUUUCAAUUCCUCUGUUGAAAGGAAACAGAAAAAUUACAUCAUCCAAGUGGAAGUGCAGGUAAAAUGAAUUAGCAGCUUCUGUAAUUACAAGUUGGGUCUCAACACUAUUAAGACAUAAAAAUGUUUGAAUAAGAAUUUAUGAUAGGAAAUGAUUUUAGAGUU